CCUACGGGCGGCUGCAGUCGAGAAUCUUCCGCAAUGGGCGCAAGCCUGACGGAGCAAUGCCGCGUGAAGGAUGAAGGUCUUCGGAUUGUAAACUUCUGUCACUGGGGACGAAUAAAUGACGGUACCCGGAGAGGAAGUCACGGCUAACUACGUGCCAGCAGCCGCGGUAAUACGUAGGUGACUAGCGUUGUUCGGAUUUAUUGGGCGUAAAGGGUCCGCAGGGGGCCGGCUAAGUCUGAUGUGAAAUACCAAGGCUCAACCUUGGAACUGCAUUGGAAACUGGUUGGCUAGAGUAUCGGAGAGGAGAUUGGAAUUCCUGGUGUAGCGGUGGAAUGCGUAGAUAUCAGGAGGAACACCAAAGGCGAAGGCAGAUCUCUGGACGAUUACUGACCCUCAGGGACGAAAGUAUGGGGAUCAAACAGGAUUAGAUACCCCUGUAGUC
RNAcentral lists this ribosomal RNA (442 nucleotides) under uncultured bacterium. RNAcentral describes it as "partial 16S ribosomal RNA". It matches the Rfam family "Bacterial small subunit ribosomal RNA", at positions 338 to 795 of the family's 1533-position model. The record is from RNAcentral.